This 23157-nucleotide long non-coding RNA is filed under the name Medicago truncatula (barrel medic). RNAcentral's name for it is "long non-coding RNA (MTRU_LNC000786)". Lineage: Eukaryota; Viridiplantae; Streptophyta; Magnoliopsida; Fabales; Fabaceae. The record is from RNAcentral.
UCAGACUGCACAGGAGCCACACGAUUGAUCUAGGAUUCUGAAACCCUAGAUCAAACGGCCAGGAACAAGGGGGACUGGACCGGAAAUAAACCGGUCCGGUUCACUGGCUAUAUAAACACAAAGGCUCCGGUUUUUUUCAUUUUCUCCUCUCCUUCUCUCUCUUCUCUCAUCCUAGUGAGAGAAGCUCCCACUUCUCUCUAGAAAUCCGGUUGUCUUCUCCGGCAUGGCUUAGCUCCUCCGGCGCGGUGGCCGGCCACCUCCAGGUGGCGGCGCCGCCGCCGGAAAAACUUCCUUGCUCCGAUUCAAAAAAUUUUUACGUUUUUAAACAUCCUUUUUCGUGCUAUUCAUGAAUCCGAGCUUGGUUUUUUGAAAAAGAUUUUCAACCGGAGUAGAUCUAAGUUUGAAGUUGCGGUUUUGAAUGAAGUUUUUCUUUGUUCUUUGUGCUUUUUGGCUACGUGCUUCUAGAAUCCUACAUGUUUAUACUUGAUUCUCCUUUUUAUCCAUUUUUUGCGAAAAAAAGGAAGUUUGAGUUUUACCUGUGGUUUUCUUGGUGGUUCCGAUCCGGAUCUUCAAGGAAAGCUUGAUUUUAGUCUUGUUCCGUUGAUUCUGGUUUGGUUCCCUGCUGUUCUGAUCCGCUCUUCUUCUUCACAGGUUCGGUAUAUGGAUUUUCGUCCCUCUUCUUCGUCUCCGGGAAAGCCUCUGCGAUCGUGCUUGAGUUCGCCGCUUUCAGUGGUGGACUCGCACUCGAAUUGCAGAGCAACGAUUCAAUGAUGAUGAUUCCUUGGCGAAUCUCUGAGAAUCGUGGAAAAUUCAAUGAAUUUCUUGAUGAUUUUGUGAUUCUGGUGAUUUAGGUUUUUUUGAUUUUUCUCUGUGUUCUUGAUGAUUUCUCUGUGAUUCUGGUUUUGAUCUAACUGACAAGAGAGAGAAAAAUUGAUUCUGUUUUUCUUCUUUGGUGAAGUGGCGUGUGAUUAAUGGCUUUGAAUCUGACUCACUGUUUAUAUAGUUGACAUGUGUACACUUGAGCCAAUGGAACUGUGACAUCUGGAUUUGUAUGGGAGGGGCACGGCCUUGGACUUAAAAUGGACUUUGGACCUUUUUGCAAAAAUAAGAAUUUUAAGGACUAAACUGCAAAAUUAAAAAAACUUGAAAUGAAAUAAACAAAAAAACAGUUUGGACAAAAAUGCAAUUUUGGGACCUCAAUUGAGGGACCAAAAUGCAAUUAAAAAUAAAAUUUGAAUAAAAAACAUAAUUUGACCAAACGUAAAGUGAAACAAAAAAUAAAAUUGACAAAACGGACUAAAACGAACCAAUGGCCUAAAUGAGGUACUUCAAAGUAACCUCCCCAUGCCAAAAUUUUAUGUGAAAUGACCAAAAUGCCCCUAGGGCUAAAAACGACCUAAACAGAUUGAAAUUGACUCAACACUGACUCAGACGCAAGUUUGAAAUGAAUUUUAACAAGGUUUACUGAUGAAAUGUAAAAAACAAUUCGAAAAGACUCAGAGACAGUCACAAGGAUGAAAAUGGGUCCCACUGCAGGAGAUGUCCAAAAUACCCUUCUGUAUGACUUUUUGCAAAUUUUGAAAUAAACUGUAGAAAAAGCAAUGCAAUGAUUCAGAGACACUUUUGAAUGACUUACAAGACAAGUAAAGACAUUUUGAAAGGUUUUAUGCAAGAAAAACAUAGGUAAAAUUGUGAUUGAAAAUACUGCGAGACAGAGACAAAUUGAACUGUGCAGUUGAAAUUUGAUAAUUGACAAAGUUUGAAAUGAAAUUGGGCCCAAUAUUUUUAGGUCCAAAAACAGGGUAUAACAACACUUUUCAUAAAUUUGAUUAAAACCUAAACCAGAUUUGUCAAAUUCUGCCAUUUGUGAACCUACAAUUUUUUGAAAUGUUUCUGUUGAUUUUAUAAAUUGUGAAAGAUCAUUUCUAAGUUCUUUGACUUCCUUUUUAAGAAUAAUAUUUUCAUUUUUAGAAUUUUCAGGAAGUUUUGUUUUUCCAAGAACUUUUAAUUUUUCAUUUACUUGAAAGUAAGAGUCUUGUAGACUUUGAAUGAUUUUCUUUUGAUCAUUAUUCAAAGUUCGAAGUUUCUCUUUUUCUUCUUUUAACUCAGAAAUUUCUUUUUGUAAAGAGUGACAUUUGUUUGUUAAAAAGUUUGAAUCAAAUAAAAGACUAUCAAAUUUAUUUUCUAACUCUUUAUAUACUAGAGGUUGGUUAAUAAGAAUUACCUCUUCGCUUUCUGAAUCUUCCAUUAGAACCAUGUUGGCUUCAGUGUCUUCAUCUUUUGAUUCUUCAAGAUCAUCCCAGGUAAACAUUGAUUUUGAGUAGGGAGAUUUCUUCUGACUCUUUUUGUUCAAUGGACAUUCGUUUUUGUAAUGUCCUAAUUUGUUGCAUCCAAAGCAAGUUACUUGACUUUUGUCAAUUUCUCCUUUUGAGUUAUCUUUCUUGUUGGGAAAGUAUUUCUUUAUUUGAUCUCUUCUUCUCAUCAUUCUUUGAAUCUUCUUUGUGAUGAGAGCUAGUUCGUCUUCUGCUUCCCCUUGGAUGUUUUCUUCUUCAUUGGCUUCUUCAGUUUCUUCGUUUUGUGGGAAGGCAUCUUUUUGUUCACUUUGAGAUGCUUUGAGAGCAACCAUCUUUCAUUUCCUUGAUGGUUUAUCAUCUUGAAGUAACGUCUCAUGAGCUUUUAAUGAUCCAAUGAGAUCUUCAAGAGCUAAGGAGUUUAAGUCUUUAGCUUGUGUGAUUGCAGUUACCAUGGGUCUCCAUGUGCUUGGAAGACAUCUUAAAAUUUUUCUUAUCCGAUCAUGAGUGGUAUAAGUUUUUCCCAGUGAUCUUAAUUCAUUCACAAUAGAUGUGAAUCUGGAGUACAUUUCAUCAAUGUUCUCAUCUUCGUUCAUUUCGAAGAUUUCAAAUUUUCUUACGCCAAUAUCUAUUCUUGUUUCUUUUACGUGGCUAGUUCCCUCAUGAUGAAUUUUUAGAGUGUCCCAAACUUCUUUUGCAGUGACACAUUCAUCAACUCUUUCACUUUCUUCCAUGCUUAGUGCGCAUGAUAGAAAGAGUCGAGCUUUGGAGUUUAGAAGUACUUUUUCUUUAUCUUCCUUUGACCAUGAUGCUUCUGGUGUGAGUGUAUCCACCUUUGUUGUUGCAUCAGUUGUCAUAGGUAUAUGUUCUCCAUUUGUGAUUAUUUUCCACAUAUCCACGUCUUGGGAUCUGAGGAAUAGUUUCAUUUUUCCUUUCCAGAAAUAAUAGUUCUUUCCAUUGAAGAAUGGUGGUCUUGUGCAUGAUAGACCUUCUGGUAUGUACUUUUCUUUUGACAUUGCCUUCUUCCUGAAUCUUUUCCUCCAACACUUGUUAGGUGUUUUUGUAGAGCCCGGGCUCUGAUACCAAUUAAAGUAGCAAUAAACGUCACAAGAAAGGGGGGUUUGAAUUGUGACCCUUUUAAAAAUUAUUCCUGAAACUUAAGUUUAGAUUUAUAUACUCAAGAAUAAUCUUGGUGUAUGUUAGCUUAACAAGAUUAGAGUAUAUAACAAUUAAUUGAAUUUAGAACAGAACAUUCUGAAGACUGAUUAUAAACAGAAUGAGAAAAAUGAUGUUAAGUUAAAAGAUUAUUUUAGCAAGGACCAGAAUGUUCUGGAGAUUAAUAAAAUAAUGUGUGUGUGUGUUGUGUAACUUUAAAUAAAGAGAGAGAUAGAGAUAGAGAGAGAGAGAGAGAGAGAAGAAUAACACAGGAGAGUUAUCCUGGUUCACCAAACCCGGCUACUUCCAGUCCCCACACCUCGUGUGAGAUUAUCCACUAUAGUUUUCUUGCUAACAGAAACUUCUGACUAGCACUACAAUAUCUUGAUCACACCAGAUCAGUCCGUAACCUCUGUAUUAUCAACCUCAGCAGGCUUAUACAAUUCUUUGCACACUAGCAAAAGAAAGGUUGGAAUUUUCUAUCUCAAAACUAUUAAGCCCAAUAGACUUUGAGAAAUACAACACUCUUUGUAUGAAGAGAUUUGUUUUGGAUCGAAUAAAUACUCAAAUCUUUGUUUGAGUUUUACAAGAGGCAAAUUCAAGAGAGAUGAUCCAAGAGAUAUAGUGAGAGAGCUUGGAAUUUGCUUUGUUUGUGAAGAGCUUUGUUUGUAGUGAUGAUUUUCACUUUGAGAGAUAUUAGCUUGCAAAACUCUUGCUUAUGACCUUCAAAGGCCCUUGUAUUUAUAGGUGAGGAGUGUCUUGGUACCAAGGGAGAAAAUAGAGCUGUUGGACACGUUUUUGAUAGCUGUCCAAAGUCUCAAUUGAUUUCUCUUUUCUUCUUUAAAAUAGCCAGAACGUUCUCAGAAUGUUCUUUCUGAUUUGCCUGACUUAGAAAGCACUGUUGCUUUGCUUGCGCAUGAGAUAACCAGCUGUGAUGAGCUGUAUAACUUGCAGCCCACUUCUGAUGAUGUCAUGUCCUUUUGCUCUAGUGAUGUCAUGCUUAAGUAAGCCAUGUGAUCUUAUCCAUUUAAUGGGCUUUACUUUUUCAAAUGGGCUUAAAGCUUUUCUUAUGGCCCAAUAGACAUAAUCAGCCAAGCUUUCUUGCUGUGCAGACUUGUUCGCUUUUGAUGUACUGUUCCAUUUUCAUCGUUUUCGCCAGAACGUUCUCAAUUCAUUCUCAUGAAACAAAUUCUCACAAAAACGAAUUAGUAGAUAACAAGAUUAAAUAAAUAUAAUAUGUUUGUAAUCUUUAAAACAUCAAAUAAGGAUUUUGUCUCAACAACUUUGUCCUCCGCACGAUUUAUUAGGAGCUUUGUCCUCCGCACGUUUAAAGUAUAUUAAUACUUAUGAUGACGAUUGGUACCACAUGCAUAUAAGGAGUCUAAGAGCAUUGUCGCAUUGUCGUGUCUAAGAUGCUAUGUUGUUGAUGAUGAUUGAAUAUGUGAUUACGUGAUAAUUGUUUAUCAAAUAUGCAAAGUUGUUUAAGAUUGAAUAUGAUGUUAAUGUUAAUUUAUGAUUCGAAUUACAUUGAUUAAUAUUAUUUUGUUAUGAAAUCUCACCCCUUCUGCUUGAAAAUGUUGCCCUUCGUAUGGGUAACUUGCAGGUGAUCGUGCUUAGUGUGCAGUUUGCCGUUGUGAGUGGCCUUGCCUCGCUGUGUCGUCUAGGUCGCUCUGAUACGUAACGGGAUGGGGUUUUAUGUUAUGCAUGCUUCAUUCUCUUACGUAACUAAUAUGUUAUUUUUAUAAUAUUAUCAAUUAUGAUUUGAAAUAUUUUGAUGGGGCCUGCGUGCCGAAACGUUUUAUGGAUUAUGAUAUAAUUUCCGCUGCAAUGUUUAAGUUAUUUGGUUAAAUUAUUAUUUAACUGUUUUGGAUUAUGUUAUAUGUGAUAUCCCGUUGUUUACGAUGCUUACUCUGAUAAAUGUUUUAAGAAAUUUUUAUAUUGGGAAAACGGAGUGUUACAGAAACUCCCCCUAUAAAUACCGCAUUCCUCAUUCACAAUUUCUCAUUCAUAACGAAGUGGUUCAAGAGGAAUGCAGUCACUAUGCAUCUAGGGAGGAUUCUCUCUCUUCACUCCAAAUUUUUCUAGAGUAUUUUUAUUUCUUUUAUAAUUUCUCUUUAGUUACCAUGGGUAACUAAAUCUUUUUAGGCUUGGGUUCUAAGAUUAACCUCUAUUCUGGUUGUUGGAUAAUUUAUGUAAAGUCUUUAUUUUAGUUAUUUAUCUUUAUGCUACUAGUUUUACUGUUGUUGCGUAAGAUUUGUCUACUAAAGCAUAAUCUACUUAGAAUAAUUGAACGUGAGUUAACUGUUAAUUAAUUCCAACAAAAUGAAUAGAGAUGAUUCAAAUUAUGUUCAAUAUUUAAGCUAACUGUGUCCUCUAUUUAAAUUAAUUGUUAUAUAUUAUAAACCUGAUAUAGCAUAGCCUAUAUAGGGCUCACAUGAAGCGAUCACAAUCGAUAAAACUAUAUUCUAUAGCUAACGGUUGAUCCUACAAUACGCUCAAUCAAUGCAAAAAUAUGUUGUCACCUAUUGGGUUCAUAUUUCUAUAAAUAACUUUGCCACGGCCAAACAGUAUUAUUUCUCUUUUGUGUUUUUUUCUUUUUAUAUCAUGAAAGGUCAAAAUAAUGGAUAUUUGUUAAAAUAAAAUAGCAUGAAUCCUUAUCAUUGAUGAGUUUUUUAUAUGACCUCCUUACUAAGCAUGAUAAAGAAACAAAUUGAACACAUUGAUGCAUUUAAGAGAUAUUUAAUAAUUAUUCUAAUUUUAAAAAGUAUCUAUAAUAUACAUAAAGAAAACUACCUCCUUUCAACACUUUUGGGUUGAAUUUUUCUUUCUAAAAAUGUCAUCAAUUUUCAAUACAAAUAAUACAUAUAAUAAAUAGACAAGAAUAAAUUUAAAUAUUAAAAAAACGUAACAAAUACGAUAUGAAUAUAUAUAUAUAUAUAUAUAUAUAUAUAUAUGUGUGUGUGUGUUUUUUUUUUCUUUAUCAUUUAAAAAGUGUAACAAACUAAAUGAGUAUAUUUAUAUUUAAUUUUUUCCAAUUACAUCUUUAAACAACUUUUUCUAUAAUAAAGAUUGUUGUUGGUGUUAUUGAAAUAAAUAAUCAUGUUUAAUUUGGUUUGUUAUACCUAGAAAGCAACAAAAAUUUAUAUUUUUAGUUUUAAUCAAAAUCAAAAUUUCAUAAAAAAAAAAAUAUAAUUCAUAAUUUUCAAAUUUUAACGCGGUAAAAAGAGUGAAAAUACGGGCACGUAAGUGCCCAUCUUUACGCUAAUUUUUAUAAUUGCAUAAGUGACUUUUUAGCUGAUGAAACGAUAUCAUAAUCUUUAUAAAUUGUAAAACCACAUUCUAUUUGUUAUAUGCAAAAGGCGAGAAAUAUGGCUAAACUUGUCAAGCUUGUUUAUGUUAUAAUUGUGUUUUAUACCCUAUUUCUUGUUGCAACGGAAAUUGUUUGUGAGCUAAUUUUUCAUACUCUUGAAAUUUCCUUUUAUUUCUUUUUAUCUCGUUUUAGUAACAUUAUUUUGUUCUUUUUCCUUCAAUACAGCGGGUAUUCCUUGUAACGAUGAUGUUGAUUGUCCACAGACUCUGUGUGAACAGUUAAUUGCCGACUUCAAGUAUAUGAUAGAUUUUAAGUCGGAGUGUGUUUCCCGUAUGUGUGCAUGUACCGGAAGUCCCGUUUAAGCUGCACUGGUGGUUGGUUUUGGUUCAAAAUGGAACAAUGAAAAAUACCUUUAAUAUUGGGUUGCUUAUAUAUUUUCACCAUAGAUGUGGAAAUCAUAAUAGGCUAUUAAUAAAAUUAUAAAUUAUACAUGUGGCCUUUAAAUAUCUUUUCUACGUACCCUUGUUAUUAAUUAAUUACUAAAAUCAAAAGAAAUUUCCUUCUCAAUUACAUGUCGUUGAGUUUUCCACCUAGAUAUGUGUUGUAUUUUUUUAUCUUAUUAAAAUAACAUAAAAUCUUAUUUACUCUCAAUCAAAAUCAAUCUAGAAUAUAAGGGUGUCUCUAUGUACUUCUCUAGGUGUGUGUUUAAUUGUUUUUUUUGUUGCAUAUAUGCAAAUAUCAAGUCAUAAAAACAUGUUUUACCUUAAUAAACACAACCAGGUGUUACUAAAAAAAUAUAAUCAUAAAAACCUAUAAUGAAAUAUAGAUAUACAAAUCAAGGAUAGAGGGAAAAGAAAUAUCUUCAAAUAAUAGAUGGAAAAUAGUGUUUUAUUUCUUUCUUCAUUACGAGAACUACGAUCUUUGGCUCUGGAACUGAAUCAUUUCCUUGUAUCUGAGAAAGACUUCCAGAUUCAAAGGAAGGAAGUUUAAUUGGACUGAAUCAGAAAUUUUAUUCUAUGAUUGAUCAGUAUAAACAUCAACACCUUCGAAUUGGAUCAGUUUCUCCUGAACAAAUAAGUGCUUGGGCAAAAAAAAUCCUACCUAAUGGAGAAAUUGUUGGAGAGGUAACAAAACCCUAUACUCUUCAUUACAAAACCAAUAAGCCUGAAAAAGAUGGAUUAUUUUGUGAACGAAUUUUUGGGCCUAUAAAAAGUGGGAUUUGUGCUUGUGGAAAUUAUCGAGUAAUCGGAGAUAAAAAAGACCAACCCAAAUUUUGUGAACAAUGCGGAGUAGAAUUUGUUGAUUCUCGGGUACGUAGGUAUCAAAUGGGGUAUAUAAAACUAGCAUGUCCAGUAACCCAUGUAUGGUAUUUGAAACGUCUUCCUAGUUAUAUUGCGAGCCUUUUAGAUAAACCUCUUAAAGAAUUAGAAGGUCUAGUAUACUGCGAUGUGUGAUUUGAUAAAAAUUCUUAUUGUACAGAUUUCAAAUGAGAAACUGUCAUUCCAUUCAAUUAAAUUGGAAUGUCCUCUAUCUGGCAUGUCUCUUGGGAUGAGUAACAUGAAGCUCAGAAUUCAUGGGUGUAUUGAAUACUCCCAAAUCAAUAAGGGAAUUGGUCUAUGGUCAAUUCAGUAACAAAUAAAUAUUUAUUUAUAACCGUACGUACCUUGUGAAAAAAAAAAAAUUAUUUUUUUGUGGAAUUAAUUAUUUCAUCUCUUUUUUUUUUAAGAACUUAAAUUAAGUUCAAAGAAUAAAAUAUAAUAUAUCAUGAUUGCCGAAGUCUAUCUAUCGCAUAUAGGCUUAAAGACAUCGUGGCAUAACCGUCGAGGUGACGUCUUGACCUAAAAGAUCAAAUGGUAUGAUACAUAGACAAAGAAAUCUCUUAUGAAUUCGAGGAUAUUCCUUUUUUUUAUUAAAAAGUAUAUUUUAAAGGAUUCUUCGUUCGAAGGGAGGUAGACUACUCAAGAAUUUUACAUUGAAUUUCUGUCGUAAUUUCGAAUUGCAUAAAGAAUUCAGAAACAAAGAAGAAUGUAUCAAUGAAAUGUUGCUUCGUCUGUAUUGAUAACUUGAGUAAAGAGUAAACCUUUUUUAUUUUAGAUUUAGAGGUUUUCAAAAAUUUGAAAACGGAAACCACUUUCUUUAUCUUUAUUGUGUGUAAAUACUUUAGCCGGAUGAGAGGAAACCCUCACGUCCGAUUUUCAAAGGGGGAGAUCCAUCUUAUUGGAUCCUAUCCAAAUUUUUCGUUUGCUAGGCCCGUAGUUAAAAAACCUACUUUCUUACGAUUACGAGGUUCAUUCGAAUACGAAAUCCAAUCUUGGAAAUACAGUAUCCCACUCUUUUUUGCUACUCAAGGUUUCGAUACAUUUCGAAAUAGAGAAAUUUCUAGUGGAGCAGGUGCUAUACGAGAACAAUUAGUUGAUUUGGAUUUAAGAAUUAUUAUGGAUUCUUCGUUGGUAGAAUGGAAAGAAUUAGGAGAAGAGGGAUCCGCCGACAAUGAAAAUGAAAAUGAAUGGGAAGAUCGAAAAGUAGGAAGAAGAAAGAAUUUUUUGGUUCGACGCAUGGAAUUAGUUAAGCACUUUAUCCGAACAAAUAUAGAACCAGAAUGGAUGGUUUUAUCUCUCUUACCAGUUCUUCCUCCCGAAUUGAGACCAAUUAUUCAAAUAGAUGGAGGGAAACUAAUGAGUUCGGAUAUUAAUGAACUCUAUAGAAGAGUUAUCUAUCGGAACAAUACUCUUAUUGACCUAUUAACAACAAGUAGAUCUACACCAGGGGAAUUAGUAAUGUGUCAAGAAAAAUUGGUACAAGAAGCCGUGGAUACACUCCUUGAUAAUGGAAUCCGCGGACAACCAAUGAGGGACGGUCAUAAUAAAGUUUACAAAUCGUUUUCAGAUAUAAUUGAGGGCAAAGAGGGAAGAUUUCGAGAGACUCUGCUUGGAAAACGAGUUGAUUAUUCGGGGCGUUCUGUUAUUGUCGUAGGUCCAUCACUUUCAUUACAUCGAUGUGGAUUGCCCCGCGAAAUAGCAAUAGAGCUAUUUCAGACAUUUCUAAUUCGUGGUUUAAUUCGAAAACAUUUUGCUUCGAACAUAGGAGUUGCUAAGAGUAAAAUACGGGAAAAAGAACCGAUUGUAUGGGAAAUACUUCAAGAAGUUAUGCGGGGGCAUCCAGUAUUGCUGAAUAGAGCGCCUACUUUGCAUAGAUUGGGCAUACAGGCAUUUCAACCUAUUUUAGUAGAAGGACGUGCUAUUUGUUUACAUCCAUUAGUGUGUAAGGGAUUCAAUGCAGACUUUGAUGGGGAUCAAAUGGCUGUUCAUGUGCCUUUAUCUUUGGAGGCUCAAGCAGAAGCUCGUUUACUUAUGUUUUCUCAUACAAACCUCUUGUCUCCGGCUAUUGGGGAUCCCAUUUCCGUACCAACUCAAGAUAUGCUUAUAGGACUUUACGUAUUAACUAGCGGAAAUCGUCGAGGUAUUUGUGCAAACAGGUAUAAUCCGUUUAAUUGCCGAAAUUCUAAAAAUGAAAAAAUUAGCAAUAAUAACUCUAAGUAUAUGAAAAAAAAAGAACCCUUUUUUUGCAAUUCCUAUGAUGCAAUUGGAGCUUAUCGACAGAAAAGAAUAAAUUUAGAUAGUCCUUUUUGGCUCCGGUGGCGAAUAGAUCAAUGCAUUAUGUCUUCAAGAGAAGUUCCUAUCGAAGUUCACUAUGAAUCUUUUGGUACCUAUUAUGAAAUUUAUGGGCAUUAUUUAGUAAUAAGAAGUAUAAAAAAAGAAAUUCGUUGUAUAUACAUUAGAACCACUGUUGGUCAUAUUUCUUUUUAUCGAGAAAUUGAAGAAGCUAUACAAGGUUUUUCUCGAGCCUAUUCAUAUGGUAUCUAAUCAUAUAGAUGGUUAGUGUUGAUAUCCAAGCUAGGUAAAUUUAUGUUAUGAUACUGGCGUAAAUUCAGGUCAACUAGCAUCUUUUCUAUUUUCUACGUGAAUAAACAUAAAGAAAAGGAAGUUUUCCAAUCAUUCACUCAAAUUCAUUGUCGAACCGAAUCCCACUGAGUGGAAUAUGGAGGUACUUAUGGCAGAACGGGCCAAUCUAGUCUUUCACUUUCUUCCAUGCUUAGUGCGCAUGAUAGAAAGAGUCGAGCUUUGGAGUUUAGAAGUACUUUUUCUUUAUCUUCCUUUGACCAUGAUGCUUCUGGUGUGAGUGUAUCCACCUUUGUUGUUGCAUCAGUUGUCAUAGGUAUAUGUUCUCCAUUUGUGAUUAUUUUCCACAUAUCCACGUCUUGGGAUCUGAGGAAUAGUUUCAUUUUUCCUUUCCAGAAAUAAUAGUUCUUUCCAUUGAAGAAUGGUGGUCUUGUGCAUGAUAGACCUUCUGGUAUGUACUUUUCUUUUGACAUUGCCUUCUUCCUGAAUCUUUUCCUCCAACACUUGUUAGGUGUUUUUGUAGAGCCCGGGCUCUGAUACCAAUUAAAGUAGCAAUAAACGUCACAAGAAAGGGGGGGUUUGAAUUGUGACCCUUUUAAAAAUUAUUCCUGAAACUUAAGUUUAGAUUUAUAUACUCAAGAAUAAUCUUGGUGUAUGUUAGCUUAACAAGAUUAGAGUAUAUAACAAUUAAUUGAAUUUAGAACAGAACAUUCUGAAGACUGAUUAUAAACAGAAUGAGAAAAAUGAUGUUAAGUUAAAAGAUUAUUUUAGCAAGGACCAGAAUGUUCUGGAGAUUAAUAAAAUAAUGUGUGUGUGUGUUGUGUAACUUUAAAUAAAGAGAGAGAUAGAGAUAGAGAGAGAGAGAGAGAAGAAUAACACAGGAGAGUUAUCCUGGUUCACCAAACCCGGCUACUUCCAGUCCCCACACCUCGUGUGAGAUUAUCCACUAUAGUUUUCUUGCUAACAGAAACUUCUGACUAGCACUACAAUAUCUUGAUCACACCAGAUCAGUCCGUAACCUCUGUAUUAUCAACCUCAGCAGGCUUAUACAAUUCUUUGCACACUAGCAAAAGAAAGGUUGGAAUUUUCUAUCUCAAAACUAUUAAGCCCAAUAGACUUUGAGAAAUACAACACUCUUUGUAUGAAGAGAUUUGUUUUGGAUCGAAUAAAUACUCAAAUCUUUGUUUGAGUUUUACAAGAGGCAAAUUCAAGAGAGAUGAUCCAAGAGAUAUAGUGAGAGAGCUUGGAAUUUGCUUUGUUUGUGAAGAGCUUUGUUUGUAGUGAUGAUUUUCACUUUGAGAGAUAUUAGCUUGCAAAACUCUUGCUUAUGACCUUCAAAGGCCCUUGUAUUUAUAGGUGAGGAGUGUCUUGGUACCAAGGGAGAAAAUAGAGCUGUUGGACACGUUUUUGAUAGCUGUCCAAAGUCUCAAUUGAUUUCUCUUUUCUUCUUUAAAAUAGCCAGAACGUUCUCAGAAUGUUCUUUCUGAUUUGCCUGACUUAGAAAGCACUGUUGCUUUGCUUGCGCAUGAGAUAACCAGCUGUGAUGAGCUGUAUAACUUGCAGCCCACUUCUGAUGAUGUCAUGUCCUUUUGCUCUAGUGAUGUCAUGCUUAAGUAAGCCAUGUGAUCUUAUCCAUUUAAUGGGCUUUACUUUUUCAAAUGGGCUUAAAGCUUUUCUUAUGGCCCAAUAGACAUAAUCAGCCAAGCUUUCUUGCUGUGCAGACUUGUUCGCUUUUGAUGUACUGUUCCAUUUUCAUCGUUUUCGCCAGAACGUUCUCAAUUCAUUCUCAUGAAACAAAUUCUCACAAAAACGAAUUAGUAGAUAACAAGAUUAAAUAAAUAUAAUAUGUUUGUAAUCUUUAAAACAUCAAAUAAGGAUUUUGUCUCAACAACUUUGUCCUCCGCACGAUUUAUUAGGAGCUUUGUCCUCCGCACGUUUAAAGUAUAUUAAUACUUAUGAUGACGAUUGGUACCACAUGCAUAUAAGGAGUCUAAGAGCAUUGUCGCAUUGUCGUGUCUAAGAUGCUAUGUUGUUGAUGAUGAUUGAAUAUGUGAUUACGUGAUAAUUGUUUAUCAAAUAUGCAAAGUUGUUUAAGAUUGAAUAUGAUGUUAAUGUUAAUUUAUGAUUCGAAUUACAUUGAUUAAUAUUAUUUUGUUAUGAAAUCUCACCCCUUCUGCUUGAAAAUGUUGCCCUUCGUAUGGGUAACUUGCAGGUGAUCGUGCUUAGUGUGCAGUUUGCCGUUGUGAGUGGCCUUGCCUCGCUGUGUCGUCUAGGUCGCUCUGAUACGUAACGGGAUGGGGUUUUAUGUUAUGCAUGCUUCAUUCUCUUACGUAACUAAUAUGUUAUUUUUAUAAUAUUAUCAAUUAUGAUUUGAAAUAUUUUGAUGGGGCCUGCGUGCCGAAACGUUUUAUGGAUUAUGAUAUAAUUUCCGCUGCAAUGUUUAAGUUAUUUGGUUAAAUUAUUAUUUAACUGUUUUGGAUUAUGUUAUAUGUGAUAUCCCGUUGUUUACGAUGCUUACUCUGAUAAAUGUUUUAAGAAAUUUUUAUAUUGGGAAAACGGAGUGUUACAGAAACUCCCCCUAUAAAUACCGCAUUCCUCAUUCACAAUUUCUCAUUCAUAACGAAGUGGUUCAAGAGGAAUGCAGUCACUAUGCAUCUAGGGAGGAUUCUCUCUCUUCACUCCAAAUUUUUCUAGAGUAUUUUUAUUUCUUUUAUAAUUUCUCUUUAGUUACCAUGGGUAACUAAAUCUUUUUAGGCUUGGGUUCUAAGAUUAACCUCUAUUCUGGUUGUUGGAUAAUUUAUGUAAAGUCUUUAUUUUAGUUAUUUAUCUUUAUGCUACUAGUUUUACUGUUGUUGCGUAAGAUUUGUCUACUAAAGCAUAAUCUACUUAGAAUAAUUGAACGUGAGUUAACUGUUAAUUAAUUCCAACAAAAUGAAUAGAGAUGAUUCAAAUUAUGUUCAAUAUUUAAGCUAACUGUGUCCUCUAUUUAAAUUAAUUGUUAUAUAUUAUAAACCUGAUAUAGCAUAGCCUAUAUAGGGCUCACAUGAAGCGAUCACAAUCGAUAAAACUAUAUUCUAUAGCUAACGGUUGAUCCUACAAUACGCUCAAUCAAUGCAAAAAUAUGUUGUCACCUAUUGGGUUCAUAUUUCUAUAAAUAACUUUGCCACGGCCAAACAGUAUUAUUUCUCUUUUGUGUUUUUUUCUUUUUAUAUCAUGAAAGGUCAAAAUAAUGGAUAUUUGUUAAAAUAAAAUAGCAUGAAUCCUUAUCAUUGAUGAGUUUUUUAUAUGACCUCCUUACUAAGCAUGAUAAAGAAACAAAUUGAACACAUUGAUGCAUUUAAGAGAUAUUUAAUAAUUAUUCUAAUUUUAAAAAGUAUCUAUAAUAUACAUAAAGAAAACUACCUCCUUUCAACACUUUUGGGUUGAAUUUUUCUUUCUAAAAAUGUCAUCAAUUUUCAAUACAAAUAAUACAUAUAAUAAAUAGACAAGAAUAAAUUUAAAUAUUAAAAAAACGUAACAAAUACGAUAUGAAUAUAUAUAUAUAUAUAUAUAUAUAUAUAUAUAUAUGUGUGUGUGUGUUUUUUUUUUCUUUAUCAUUUAAAAAGUGUAACAAACUAAAUGAGUAUAUUUAUAUUUAAUUUUUUCCAAUUACAUCUUUAAACAACUUUUUCUAUAAUAAAGAUUGUUGUUGGUGUUAUUGAAAUAAAUAAUCAUGUUUAAUUUGGUUUGUUAUACCUAGAAAGCAACAAAAAUUUAUAUUUUUAGUUUUAAUCAAAAUCAAAAUUUCAUAAAAAAAAAAAUAUAAUUCAUAAUUUUCAAAUUUUAACGCGGUAAAAAGAGUGAAAAUACGGGCACGUAAGUGCCCAUCUUUACGCUAAUUUUUAUAAUUGCAUAAGUGACUUUUUAGCUGAUGAAACGAUAUCAUAAUCUUUAUAAAUUGUAAAACCACAUUCUAUUUGUUAUAUGCAAAAGGCGAGAAAUAUGGCUAAACUUGUCAAGCUUGUUUAUGUUAUAAUUGUGUUUUAUACCCUAUUUCUUGUUGCAACGGAAAUUGUUUGUGAGCUAAUUUUUCAUACUCUUGAAAUUUCCUUUUAUUUCUUUUUAUCUCGUUUUAGUAACAUUAUUUUGUUCUUUUUCCUUCAAUACAGCGGGUAUUCCUUGUAACGAUGAUGUUGAUUGUCCACAGACUCUGUGUGAACAGUUAAUUGCCGACUUCAAGUAUAUGAUAGAUUUUAAGUCGGAGUGUGUUUCCCGUAUGUGUGCAUGUACCGGAAGUCCCGUUUAAGCUGCACUGGUGGUUGGUUUUGGUUCAAAAUGGAACAAUGAAAAAUACCUUUAAUAUUGGGUUGCUUAUAUAUUUUCACCAUAGAUGUGGAAAUCAUAAUAGGCUAUUAAUAAAAUUAUAAAUUAUACAUGUGGCCUUUAAAUAUCUUUUCUACGUACCCUUGUUAUUAAUUAAUUACUAAAAUCAAAAGAAAUUUCCUUCUCAAUUACAUGUCGUUGAGUUUUCCACCUAGAUAUGUGUUGUAUUUUUUUAUCUUAUUAAAAUAACAUAAAAUCUUAUUUACUCUCAAUCAAAAUCAAUCUAGAAUAUAAGGGUGUCUCUAUGUACUUCUCUAGGUGUGUGUUUAAUUGUUUUUUUUGUUGCAUAUAUGCAAAUAUCAAGUCAUAAAAACAUGUUUUACCUUAAUAAACACAACCAGGUGUUACUAAAAAAAUAUAAUCAUAAAAACCUAUAAUGAAAUAUAGAUAUACAAAUCAAGGAUAGAGGGAAAAGAAAUAUCUUCAAAUAAUAGAUGGAAAAUAGUGUUUUAUUUCUUUCUUCAUUACGAGAACUACGAUCUUUGGCUCUGGAACUGAAUCAUUUCCUUGUAUCUGAGAAAGACUUCCAGAUUCAAAGGAAGGAAGUUUAAUUGGACUGAAUCAGAAAUUUUAUUCUAUGAUUGAUCAGUAUAAACAUCAACACCUUCGAAUUGGAUCAGUUUCUCCUGAACAAAUAAGUGCUUGGGCAAAAAAAAUCCUACCUAAUGGAGAAAUUGUUGGAGAGGUAACAAAACCCUAUACUCUUCAUUACAAAACCAAUAAGCCUGAAAAAGAUGGAUUAUUUUGUGAACGAAUUUUUGGGCCUAUAAAAAGUGGGAUUUGUGCUUGUGGAAAUUAUCGAGUAAUCGGAGAUAAAAAAGACCAACCCAAAUUUUGUGAACAAUGCGGAGUAGAAUUUGUUGAUUCUCGGGUACGUAGGUAUCAAAUGGGGUAUAUAAAACUAGCAUGUCCAGUAACCCAUGUAUGGUAUUUGAAACGUCUUCCUAGUUAUAUUGCGAGCCUUUUAGAUAAACCUCUUAAAGAAUUAGAAGGUCUAGUAUACUGCGAUGUGUGAUUUGAUAAAAAUUCUUAUUGUACAGAUUUCAAAUGAGAAACUGUCAUUCCAUUCAAUUAAAUUGGAAUGUCCUCUAUCUGGCAUGUCUCUUGGGAUGAGUAACAUGAAGCUCAGAAUUCAUGGGUGUAUUGAAUACUCCCAAAUCAAUAAGGGAAUUGGUCUAUGGUCAAUUCAGUAACAAAUAAAUAUUUAUUUAUAACCGUACGUACCUUGUGAAAAAAAAAAAAUUAUUUUUUUGUGGAAUUAAUUAUUUCAUCUCUUUUUUUUUUAAGAACUUAAAUUAAGUUCAAAGAAUAAAAUAUAAUAUAUCAUGAUUGCCGAAGUCUAUCUAUCGCAUAUAGGCUUAAAGACAUCGUGGCAUAACCGUCGAGGUGACGUCUUGACCUAAAAGAUCAAAUGGUAUGAUACAUAGACAAAGAAAUCUCUUAUGAAUUCGAGGAUAUUCCUUUUUUUUAUUAAAAAGUAUAUUUUAAAGGAUUCUUCGUUCGAAGGGAGGUAGACUACUCAAGAAUUUUACAUUGAAUUUCUGUCGUAAUUUCGAAUUGCAUAAAGAAUUCAGAAACAAAGAAGAAUGUAUCAAUGAAAUGUUGCUUCGUCUGUAUUGAUAACUUGAGUAAAGAGUAAACCUUUUUUAUUUUAGAUUUAGAGGUUUUCAAAAAUUUGAAAACGGAAACCACUUUCUUUAUCUUUAUUGUGUGUAAAUACUUUAGCCGGAUGAGAGGAAACCCUCACGUCCGAUUUUCAAAGGGGGAGAUCCAUCUUAUUGGAUCCUAUCCAAAUUUUUCGUUUGCUAGGCCCGUAGUUAAAAAACCUACUUUCUUACGAUUACGAGGUUCAUUCGAAUACGAAAUCCAAUCUUGGAAAUACAGUAUCCCACUCUUUUUUGCUACUCAAGGUUUCGAUACAUUUCGAAAUAGAGAAAUUUCUAGUGGAGCAGGUGCUAUACGAGAACAAUUAGUUGAUUUGGAUUUAAGAAUUAUUAUGGAUUCUUCGUUGGUAGAAUGGAAAGAAUUAGGAGAAGAGGGAUCCGCCGACAAUGAAAAUGAAAAUGAAUGGGAAGAUCGAAAAGUAGGAAGAAGAAAGAAUUUUUUGGUUCGACGCAUGGAAUUAGUUAAGCACUUUAUCCGAACAAAUAUAGAACCAGAAUGGAUGGUUUUAUCUCUCUUACCAGUUCUUCCUCCCGAAUUGAGACCAAUUAUUCAAAUAGAUGGAGGGAAACUAAUGAGUUCGGAUAUUAAUGAACUCUAUAGAAGAGUUAUCUAUCGGAACAAUACUCUUAUUGACCUAUUAACAACAAGUAGAUCUACACCAGGGGAAUUAGUAAUGUGUCAAGAAAAAUUGGUACAAGAAGCCGUGGAUACACUCCUUGAUAAUGGAAUCCGCGGACAACCAAUGAGGGACGGUCAUAAUAAAGUUUACAAAUCGUUUUCAGAUAUAAUUGAGGGCAAAGAGGGAAGAUUUCGAGAGACUCUGCUUGGAAAACGAGUUGAUUAUUCGGGGCGUUCUGUUAUUGUCGUAGGUCCAUCACUUUCAUUACAUCGAUGUGGAUUGCCCCGCGAAAUAGCAAUAGAGCUAUUUCAGACAUUUCUAAUUCGUGGUUUAAUUCGAAAACAUUUUGCUUCGAACAUAGGAGUUGCUAAGAGUAAAAUACGGGAAAAAGAACCGAUUGUAUGGGAAAUACUUCAAGAAGUUAUGCGGGGGCAUCCAGUAUUGCUGAAUAGAGCGCCUACUUUGCAUAGAUUGGGCAUACAGGCAUUUCAACCUAUUUUAGUAGAAGGACGUGCUAUUUGUUUACAUCCAUUAGUGUGUAAGGGAUUCAAUGCAGACUUUGAUGGGGAUCAAAUGGCUGUUCAUGUGCCUUUAUCUUUGGAGGCUCAAGCAGAAGCUCGUUUACUUAUGUUUUCUCAUACAAACCUCUUGUCUCCGGCUAUUGGGGAUCCCAUUUCCGUACCAACUCAAGAUAUGCUUAUAGGACUUUACGUAUUAACUAGCGGAAAUCGUCGAGGUAUUUGUGCAAACAGGUAUAAUCCGUUUAAUUGCCGAAAUUCUAAAAAUGAAAAAAUUAGCAAUAAUAACUCUAAGUAUAUGAAAAAAAAAGAACCCUUUUUUUGCAAUUCCUAUGAUGCAAUUGGAGCUUAUCGACAGAAAAGAAUAAAUUUAGAUAGUCCUUUUUGGCUCCGGUGGCGAAUAGAUCAAUGCAUUAUGUCUUCAAGAGAAGUUCCUAUCGAAGUUCACUAUGAAUCUUUUGGUACCUAUUAUGAAAUUUAUGGGCAUUAUUUAGUAAUAAGAAGUAUAAAAAAAGAAAUUCGUUGUAUAUACAUUAGAACCACUGUUGGUCAUAUUUCUUUUUAUCGAGAAAUUGAAGAAGCUAUACAAGGUUUUUCUCGAGCCUAUUCAUAUGGUAUCUAAUCAUAUAGAUGGUUAGUGUUGAUAUCCAAGCUAGGUAAAUUUAUGUUAUGAUACUGGCGUAAAUUCAGGUCAACUAGCAUCUUUUCUAUUUUCUACGUGAAUAAACAUAAAGAAAAGGAAGUUUUCCAAUCAUUCACUCAAAUUCAUUGUCGAACCGAAUCCCACUGAGUGGAAUAUGGAGGUACUUAUGGCAGAACGGGCCAAUCUAGUCUUUCACUUUCUUCCAUGCUUAGUGCGCAUGAUAGAAAGAGUCGAGCUUUGGAGUUUAGAAGUACUUUUUCUUUAUCUUCCUUUGACCAUGAUGCUUCUGGUGUGAGUGUAUCCACCUUUGUUGUUGCAUCAGUUGUCAUAGGUAUAUGUUCUCCAUUUGUGAUUAUUUUCCACAUAUCCACGUCUUGGGAUCUGAGGAAUAGUUUCAUUUUUCCUUUCCAGAAAUAAUAGUUCUUUCCAUUGAAGAAUGGUGGUCUUGUGCAUGAUAGACCUUCUGGUAUGUACUUUUCUUUUGACAUUGCCUUCUUCCUGAAUCUUUUCCUCCAACACUUGUUAGGUGUUUUUGUAGAGCCCGGGCUCUGAUACCAAUUAAAGUAGCAAUAAACGUCACAAGAAAGGGGGGGUUUGAAUUGUGACCCUUUUAAAAAUUAUUCCUGAAACUUAAGUUUAGAUUUAUAUACUCAAGAAUAAUCUUGGUGUAUGUUAGCUUAACAAGAUUAGAGUAUAUAACAAUUAAUUGAAUUUAGAACAGAACAUUCUGAAGACUGAUUAUAAACAGAAUGAGAAAAAUGAUGUUAAGUUAAAAGAUUAUUUUAGCAAGGACCAGAAUGUUCUGGAGAUUAAUAAAAUAAUGUGUGUGUGUGUUGUGUAACUUUAAAUAAAGAGAGAGAUAGAGAUAGAGAGAGAGAGAGAGAAGAAUAACACAGGAGAGUUAUCCUGGUUCACCAAACCCGGCUACUUCCAGUCCCCACACCUCGUGUGAGAUUAUCCACUAUAGUUUUCUUGCUAACAGAAACUUCUGACUAGCACUACAAUAUCUUGAUCACACCAGAUCAGUCCGUAACCUCUGUAUUAUCAACCUCAGCAGGCUUAUACAAUUCUUUGCACACUAGCAAAAGAAAGGUUGGAAUUUUCUAUCUCAAAACUAUUAAGCCCAAUAGACUUUGAGAAAUACAACACUCUUUGUAUGAAGAGAUUUGUUUUGGAUCGAAUAAAUACUCAAAUCUUUGUUUGAGUUUUACAAGAGGCAAAUUCAAGAGAGAUGAUCCAAGAGAUAUAGUGAGAGAGCUUGGAAUUUGCUUUGUUUGUGAAGAGCUUUGUUUGUAGUGAUGAUUUUCACUUUGAGAGAUAUUAGCUUGCAAAACUCUUGCUUAUGACCUUCAAAGGCCCUUGUAUUUAUAGGUGAGGAGUGUCUUGGUACCAAGGGAGAAAAUAGAGCUGUUGGACACGUUUUUGAUAGCUGUCCAAAGUCUCAAUUGAUUUCUCUUUUCUUCUUUAAAAUAGCCAGAACGUUCUCAGAAUGUUCUUUCUGAUUUGCCUGACUUAGAAAGCACUGUUGCUUUGCUUGCGCAUGAGAUAACCAGCUGUGAUGAGCUGUAUAACUUGCAGCCCACUUCUGAUGAUGUCAUGUCCUUUUGCUCUAGUGAUGUCAUGCUUAAGUAAGCCAUGUGAUCUUAUCCAUUUAAUGGGCUUUACUUUUUCAAAUGGGCUUAAAGCUUUUCUUAUGGCCCAAUAGACAUAAUCAGCCAAGCUUUCUUGCUGUGCAGACUUGUUCGCUUUUGAUGUACUGUUCCAUUUUCAUCGUUUUCGCCAGAACGUUCUCAAUUCAUUCUCAUGAAACAAAUUCUCACAAAAACGAAUUAGUAGAUAACAAGAUUAAAUAAAUAUAAUAUGUUUGUAAUCUUUAAAACAUCAAAUAAGGAUUUUGUCUCAACAACUUUGUCCUCCGCACGAUUUAUUAGGAGCUUUGUCCUCCGCACGUUUAAAGUAUAUUAAUACUUAUGAUGACGAUUGGUACCACAUGCAUAUAAGGAGUCUAAGAGCAUUGUCGCAUUGUCGUGUCUAAGAUGCUAUGUUGUUGAUGAUGAUUGAAUAUGUGAUUACGUGAUAAUUGUUUAUCAAAUAUGCAAAGUUGUUUAAGAUUGAAUAUGAUGUUAAUGUUAAUUUAUGAUUCGAAUUACAUUGAUUAAUAUUAUUUUGUUAUGAAAUCUCACCCCUUCUGCUUGAAAAUGUUGCCCUUCGUAUGGGUAACUUGCAGGUGAUCGUGCUUAGUGUGCAGUUUGCCGUUGUGAGUGGCCUUGCCUCGCUGUGUCGUCUAGGUCGCUCUGAUACGUAACGGGAUGGGGUUUUAUGUUAUGCAUGCUUCAUUCUCUUACGUAACUAAUAUGUUAUUUUUAUAAUAUUAUCAAUUAUGAUUUGAAAUAUUUUGAUGGGGCCUGCGUGCCGAAACGUUUUAUGGAUUAUGAUAUAAUUUCCGCUGCAAUGUUUAAGUUAUUUGGUUAAAUUAUUAUUUAACUGUUUUGGAUUAUGUUAUAUGUGAUAUCCCGUUGUUUACGAUGCUUACUCUGAUAAAUGUUUUAAGAAAUUUUUAUAUUGGGAAAACGGAGUGUUACAGAAACUCCCCCUAUAAAUACCGCAUUCCUCAUUCACAAUUUCUCAUUCAUAACGAAGUGGUUCAAGAGGAAUGCAGUCACUAUGCAUCUAGGGAGGAUUCUCUCUCUUCACUCCAAAUUUUUCUAGAGUAUUUUUAUUUCUUUUAUAAUUUCUCUUUAGUUACCAUGGGUAACUAAAUCUUUUUAGGCUUGGGUUCUAAGAUUAACCUCUAUUCUGGUUGUUGGAUAAUUUAUGUAAAGUCUUUAUUUUAGUUAUUUAUCUUUAUGCUACUAGUUUUACUGUUGUUGCGUAAGAUUUGUCUACUAAAGCAUAAUCUACUUAGAAUAAUUGAACGUGAGUUAACUGUUAAUUAAUUCCAACAAAAUGAAUAGAGAUGAUUCAAAUUAUGUUCAAUAUUUAAGCUAACUGUGUCCUCUAUUUAAAUUAAUUGUUAUAUAUUAUAAACCUGAUAUAGCAUAGCCUAUAUAGGGCUCACAUGAAGCGAUCACAAUCGAUAAAACUAUAUUCUAUAGCUAACGGUUGAUCCUACAAUACGCUCAAUCAAUGCAAAAAUAUGUUGUCACCUAUUGGGUUCAUAUUUCUAUAAAUAACUUUGCCACGGCCAAACAGUAUUAUUUCUCUUUUGUGUUUUUUUCUUUUUAUAUCAUGAAAGGUCAAAAUAAUGGAUAUUUGUUAAAAUAAAAUAGCAUGAAUCCUUAUCAUUGAUGAGUUUUUUAUAUGACCUCCUUACUAAGCAUGAUAAAGAAACAAAUUGAACACAUUGAUGCAUUUAAGAGAUAUUUAAUAAUUAUUCUAAUUUUAAAAAGUAUCUAUAAUAUACAUAAAGAAAACUACCUCCUUUCAACACUUUUGGGUUGAAUUUUUCUUUCUAAAAAUGUCAUCAAUUUUCAAUACAAAUAAUACAUAUAAUAAAUAGACAAGAAUAAAUUUAAAUAUUAAAAAAACGUAACAAAUACGAUAUGAAUAUAUAUAUAUAUAUAUAUAUAUAUAUAUAUGUGUGUGUGUGUUUUUUUUUUCUUUAUCAUUUAAAAAGUGUAACAAACUAAAUGAGUAUAUUUAUAUUUAAUUUUUUCCAAUUACAUCUUUAAACAACUUUUUCUAUAAUAAAGAUUGUUGUUGGUGUUAUUGAAAUAAAUAAUCAUGUUUAAUUUGGUUUGUUAUACCUAGAAAGCAACAAAAAUUUAUAUUUUUAGUUUUAAUCAAAAUCAAAAUUUCAUAAAAAAAAAAAUAUAAUUCAUAAUUUUCAAAUUUUAACGCGGUAAAAAGAGUGAAAAUACGGGCACGUAAGUGCCCAUCUUUACGCUAAUUUUUAUAAUUGCAUAAGUGACUUUUUAGCUGAUGAAACGAUAUCAUAAUCUUUAUAAAUUGUAAAACCACAUUCUAUUUGUUAUAUGCAAAAGGCGAGAAAUAUGGCUAAACUUGUCAAGCUUGUUUAUGUUAUAAUUGUGUUUUAUACCCUAUUUCUUGUUGCAACGGAAAUUGUUUGUGAGCUAAUUUUUCAUACUCUUGAAAUUUCCUUUUAUUUCUUUUUAUCUCGUUUUAGUAACAUUAUUUUGUUCUUUUUCCUUCAAUACAGCGGGUAUUCCUUGUAACGAUGAUGUUGAUUGUCCACAGACUCUGUGUGAACAGUUAAUUGCCGACUUCAAGUAUAUGAUAGAUUUUAAGUCGGAGUGUGUUUCCCGUAUGUGUGCAUGUACCGGAAGUCCCGUUUAAGCUGCACUGGUGGUUGGUUUUGGUUCAAAAUGGAACAAUGAAAAAUACCUUUAAUAUUGGGUUGCUUAUAUAUUUUCACCAUAGAUGUGGAAAUCAUAAUAGGCUAUUAAUAAAAUUAUAAAUUAUACAUGUGGCCUUUAAAUAUCUUUUCUACGUACCCUUGUUAUUAAUUAAUUACUAAAAUCAAAAGAAAUUUCCUUCUCAAUUACAUGUCGUUGAGUUUUCCACCUAGAUAUGUGUUGUAUUUUUUUAUCUUAUUAAAAUAACAUAAAAUCUUAUUUACUCUCAAUCAAAAUCAAUCUAGAAUAUAAGGGUGUCUCUAUGUACUUCUCUAGGUGUGUGUUUAAUUGUUUUUUUUGUUGCAUAUAUGCAAAUAUCAAGUCAUAAAAACAUGUUUUA